This 819-nucleotide ribosomal RNA is filed under the name Salmonella enterica subsp. enterica serovar Infantis. RNAcentral describes it as "partial 23S ribosomal RNA". It matches the Rfam family "Bacterial large subunit ribosomal RNA", at positions 2124 to 2925 of the family's 2925-position model. Lineage: Bacteria; Pseudomonadati; Pseudomonadota; Gammaproteobacteria; Enterobacterales; Enterobacteriaceae. The record is from RNAcentral.
UUGAGCCUUGAUGUGUAGGAUAGGUGGGAGGCUUUGAAGCGUGGACGCCAGUCUGCGUGGAGCCGACCUUGAAAUACCACCCUUUAAUGUUUGAUGUUCUAACGUGGAUCCGUAAUCCGGGUUGCGGACAGUGUCUGGUGGGUAGUUUGACUGGGGCGGUCUCCUCCUAAAGAGUAACGGAGGAGCACGAAGGUUGGCUAAUCCUGGUCGGACAUCAGGAGGUUAGUGCAAUGGCAUAAGCCAGCUUGACUGCGAGCGUGACGGCGCGAGCAGGUGCGAAAGCAGGUCAUAGUGAUCCGGUGGUUCUGAAUGGAAGGGCCAUCGCUCAACGGAUAAAAGGUACUCCGGGGAUAACAGGCUGAUACCGCCCAAGAGUUCAUAUCGACGGCGGUGUUUGGCACCUCGAUGUCGGCUCAUCACAUCCUGGGGCUGAAGUAGGUCCCAAGGGUAUGGCUGUUCGCCAUUUAAAGUGGUACGCGAGCUGGGUUUAGAACGUCGUGAGACAGUUCGGUCCCUAUCUGCCGUGGGCGCUGGAGAACUGAGGGGGGCUGCUCCUAGUACGAGAGGACCGGAGUGGACGCAUCACUGGUGUUCGGGUUGUCAUGCCAAUGGCACUGCCCGGUAGCUAAAUGCGGAAGAGAUAAGUGCUGAAAGCAUCUAAGCACGAAACUUGCCCCGAGAUGAGUUCUCCCUGAGACUUAGAGUCUCCUGAAGGAACGUUGAAGACGACGACGUUGAUAGGCCGGGUGUGUAAGCGCAGCGAUGCGUUGAGCUAACCGGUACUAAUGAACCGUGAGGCUUAACCUUACAACGCCGAAG